This 510-nucleotide ribosomal RNA is filed under the name uncultured bacterium. RNAcentral's name for it is "partial 16S ribosomal RNA". It matches the Rfam family "Bacterial small subunit ribosomal RNA", at positions 28 to 507 of the family's 1533-position model. The record is from RNAcentral.
GACGAACGCUGGCGGCGUGCUUAACACAUGCAAGUCGAACGAAGAGCGAUGGAAGCUUGCUUCUAUCAAUCUUAGUGGCGAACGGGUGAGUAACGCGUAAUCAACCUGCCCUUCAGAGGGGGACAACAGUUGGAAACGACUGCUAAUACCGCAUACGAUCUAAUCUCGGCAUCGAGGAUAGAUGAAAGGUGGCCUCUACAUGUAAGCUAUCACUGAAGGAGGGGAUUGCGUCUGAUUAGCUAGUUGGAGGGGUAACGGCCUACCAAGGCGAUGAUCAGUAGCCCGUCUGAGAGGAUGAACGGCCACAUUGGGACUGAGACACGGCCCAGACUCCUACGGGAGGCAGCAGUGGGGAAUCUUCCGCAAUGGACGAAAGUCUGACGGAGCAACGCCGCGUGAGUGAUGACGGCCCUCGGGUUGUAAAGCUCUGUUAAUCGGGACGAAAGGCCUUCUUGCGAAUAGUGAGAAGGAUUGACGGUACCGGAAUAGAAAGCCACGGCUAACUACGUG